UACGUAGGGGGCAAGCGUUGUCCGGAUUUAUUGGGCGUAAAGAGCGUGUAGGCGGCCAGGUAGGUCCGUUGUGAAAACUCGAGGCUCAACCUCGAGACGUCGGCGGAAACCCUCUGGCUAGAGUCCGGAAGAGGAGAGUGGAAUUCCUGGUGUAGCGGUGAAAUGCGCAGAUAUCAGGAGGAACACCGGUGGCGAAGGCAGCUCGCUGGGACGGUACUGACGCUGAGGCGCGAAAGCGUGGGGAGCAAACAGG
RNAcentral lists this ribosomal RNA (253 nucleotides) under uncultured bacterium. Its description in RNAcentral is "partial 16S ribosomal RNA". It matches the Rfam family "Bacterial small subunit ribosomal RNA", at positions 524 to 776 of the family's 1533-position model. The record is from RNAcentral.